UAACAGAUUCUAUGGCUUCUCUAGGUGUCCAAAGUAGAACCCAAAUCAGUUGGUCAAAAGUAACAUAUGUAUUCUUGAAAAAGU
Hippocampus comes (tiger tail seahorse) is the source of this 84-nucleotide long non-coding RNA. RefSeq lists it as uncharacterized. The record is from RefSeq and is a predicted model, not a curated record. Lineage: Eukaryota; Metazoa; Chordata; Actinopteri; Syngnathiformes; Syngnathidae. The transcript has 3 exons.